This 380-nucleotide ribosomal RNA is filed under the name uncultured eukaryote. RNAcentral describes it as "partial 18S ribosomal RNA". It matches the Rfam family "Eukaryotic small subunit ribosomal RNA", at positions 592 to 976 of the family's 1831-position model. The record is from RNAcentral.
CAAUAGCGUAUAUUAAAGUUGUUGCGGUUAAAAAGCUCGUAGUUGGAUUUCUGCCGAGGACGACCGGUCCGCCCUCUGGGUGUGUAUCUGGUUUGGCCUGGGCAUCUUCUUGGUGAACGUUGCUGCACUUGACUGUGUGGAGCGCUACCCAGGACUUUUACUUUGAGGAAAUUAGAGUGUUUCAAGCAGGCAUACGCCUUGAAUACAUUAGCAUGGAAUAAUAAGAUAGGACCUCGGUUCUAUUUUGUUGGUUUCUAGAGCUGAGGUAAUGAUUAAUAGGGAUAGUUGGGGGCAUUCGUAUUUAACUGUCAGAGGUGAAAUUCUUGGAUUUGUUAAAAACGGACUACUGCGAAAGCAUUUGCCAAGGAUGUUUUCAUUGA